RNAcentral lists this transfer RNA (73 nucleotides) under Streptococcus equinus. RNAcentral's name for it is "tRNA-Asn(gtt)". It matches the Rfam family "tRNA". Rfam says of the family: Transfer RNA (tRNA) molecules are approximately 80 nucleotides in length. Their secondary structure includes four short double-helical elements and three loops (D, anti-codon, and T loops). The record is from RNAcentral. Lineage: Bacteria; Bacillati; Bacillota; Bacilli; Lactobacillales; Streptococcaceae.
UCCGCCAUAGCUCAGUUGGUAGUAGCGCAUGACUGUUAAUCAUGAUGUGUAGGUUCGAGUCCUACUGGCGGAG